CAGCACCUCAAGUGGUCAGGAUGAUUAUUGGGCCUAAAGCAUCCGUAGCCGGCUCUGUAAGUUUUCGGUUAAAUCUGUACGCUCAACGUACAGGCUGCCGGGAAUACUGCAGCGCUAGGGAGUGGGAGAGGUAGACGGUACUCGGUAGGAAGGGGUAAAAUCCUUUGAUCUAUUGAUGACCACCUGUGGCGAAGGCGGUCUACCAGAACACGUCCGACGGUGAGGGACGAAGGCUAGGGGAGCGAUCCGGAUUAGAUACCCGAGUAGUCC
RNAcentral lists this ribosomal RNA (270 nucleotides) under uncultured archaeon. Its description in RNAcentral is "partial 16S ribosomal RNA". It matches the Rfam family "Archaeal small subunit ribosomal RNA", at positions 477 to 747 of the family's 1478-position model. The record is from RNAcentral.